Molecule: ribosomal RNA, 458 nt
Filed under: uncultured bacterium
Lineage: Bacteria
Description: SSU rRNA
Rfam family: Bacterial small subunit ribosomal RNA
Source: RNAcentral
AGAAUCAACGCUGGCGGCGUGCCUAACACAUGCAAGUCGAACGAGAAAGUGGAGCAAUCCAUGAGUAAAGUGGCGACCGGGUGAGUAACACGUGACUAACCUACCCUACAGUGGGGGAUAACUCCGGGAAACCGGGGCUAAUACCGCAUAACAUCGUAAGAUCAAAGGAGCAAUUCGCUGAAGGAGGGGUCGCGGCUGAUUAGUUAGUUGGUGAGGUAACGGCUCACCAAGACGAAGAUCAGUAGCCGGCCUGAGAGGGCGCACGGCCACACUGGAACUGAAACACGGUCCAGACUCCUACGGGAGGCAGCAGUGGGAAUUUUGCGCAAUGGGGGAAACCCUGACGCAGCAACGCCGCGUGGAGGAUGAAGUCCCUUGGGAUGUAAACUCCUUUCGAUCGGGACGAUUAUGACGGUACCGGAAGAAGAAGCACCGGCUAACUCUGCGCCAGCAGCCGC